CCUGGCUCAGGACGAACGCUGGCGGCGUGCCUAAGCUUAUGCAAGUCGAACGCGAACGGCUCCUUCGGGAGCCUAGUAGAGUGGCAAACGGGUGAGUAACGCGUGGGUAACGUACCCUGAUCCUGGGAAUAACCCUCGGAAACGAGGGCUAAUACCGAAUGUGGCGAACGACCGGUUGGUCGCUCGCUAAAGGUGGCCUCUUCUAUGCUGCCGGGUUGGGAUCGGCCCGCGUCCCAUUAGCUAGUUGGUGAGGUAACGGCUCACCAAGGCCACGAUGGGUAGCCGGCCUGAGAGGGUGUACGGCCACACUGGCACUGAGACAAGGGCCAGUCCCCUAUGGGAGGCGCAGGCGGGAAUAGUUCACAAUGGGCGAAAGCCUGAUGACGCGACGCCGCGUGAGCGAAGAAGACCUUCGGGUUGUAAAGCUCUGUCAGGAGGGAAGAAGGCUCUACGGGUCAAUAGCCCGUGGGAUUGACGGUACCUCCAGAGGAAGCCCCGGCUAAAUACGUGCCAGCAGCCGCGGUAAUACGUAUGGGGCAAGCGUUGUCCGGAUUUACUGGGCGUAAAGGGCGCGUAGGCGGUUUGUUAAGUCGAAGGUGAAAUCCUCGGGCUCAACUCGAGAAUUGCCUUCGAUACUGGCAAACUAGAGUGGCGGAGAGGAAAGCGGAACUCUUGGUGUAACCGGUGGAAUGUGUAGAUGUCACGAGGAACACCGGUGGCGAAGGCGGCUUUCUGGACGCACACUGACGCUCAGGCGCGAAAGCGUGGGUAGCCAACAGGAUUAGAUACCCUGGUAGUCCACGCCAUAAAGCGAUGGGUAC
Molecule: ribosomal RNA, 821 nt
Filed under: uncultured organism
Description: bacterial SSU rRNA
Rfam family: Bacterial small subunit ribosomal RNA
Source: RNAcentral